GGGUGACUAGUGACAGAAUGAGGGAGGGUGUGACUAGUGACAGAGAGAGGGAGGGGGUGACUAGUGACAGAGUGAGGGAGGUUGUGAUUAGAGACAGAGGGAGGGAUGGGGUGACUAGUGACAGUCACCACCUCCUUCGCACUGUCACUAGUCACCCCCUCCCUCACUCUGUCAUUGUGUCACUCCCUUCCUCACUCUGUCACUAGUCACCCACUCCCUCCCUCACUCUGUCACUAGUCACCCC
Molecule: non-coding RNA, 244 nt
Organism: Pelobates cultripes (western spadefoot toad)
Lineage: Eukaryota; Metazoa; Chordata; Amphibia; Anura; Pelobatidae
Source: the annotation of a GenBank genome assembly